RNAcentral lists this transfer RNA (77 nucleotides) under Staphylococcus aureus. Its description in RNAcentral is "tRNA-Ile-GAT". It matches the Rfam family "Bacterial small subunit ribosomal RNA", at positions 1061 to 1139 of the family's 1533-position model. The record is from RNAcentral. Lineage: Bacteria; Bacillati; Bacillota; Bacilli; Caryophanales; Staphylococcaceae.
CGUGUCGUGAGAUGUUGGGUUAAGUCCCGCAACGAGCGCAACCCUUAAGCUUAGUUGCCAUCAUUAAGUUGGGCACU